RNAcentral lists this ribosomal RNA (369 nucleotides) under Neophema splendida. Its description in RNAcentral is "partial 12S ribosomal RNA". It matches the Rfam family "Bacterial small subunit ribosomal RNA", at positions 866 to 1390 of the family's 1533-position model. Lineage: Eukaryota; Metazoa; Chordata; Aves; Psittaciformes; Psittacidae. The record is from RNAcentral.
CACCCGCCCGAGAACUUCGAGCCCAAACGCUUAAAACUCUAAGGACUUGGCGGUGCCCUAAACCCACCUAGAGGAGCCUGUUCUAUAAUCGAUAACCCACGAUACACCCAACCACUUCUAGCCACAACAGCCUACAUACCGCCGUCAGCAGCCCACCUCAGUGAGAGAACAACAGUGAGCCCAAGAGCCACCCAGCCCGCUAACAAGACAGGUCAAGGUAUAGCCCACGAAGUGGAAGAAAUGGGCUACAUUUUCUAAAGUAGAACAUACCAACGAAAAGGGGUAUGAAACCUACCCCUAGAAGGCGGAUUUAGCAGUAAAGAGGGACAAUCAUGCCCUCCUUAAGCCGGUCCUAGGGCACGUACAUAC